UUAAGUUCAGCGGGUAGUCUUACCUGAUUUGAGAUCAAAGGUUCAGGGGUGUUGUCCUUCAGUGAAGAAGGUUAUAAGCCAGAGCGUCUCCGACGUUGUCGCUCAGGACAGCAUGAAUCGGCAUAGAUACUUAUCACACCGGUCAAGCCAUCAAGAUCAACUCAAAGCUAAUGAUUUCAAGAGGAGCCAGCAGAUGAUGC
RNAcentral lists this unclassified non-coding RNA (200 nucleotides) under Odontia sp. RNAcentral's name for it is "partial internal transcribed spacer 2". The record is from RNAcentral. Lineage: Eukaryota; Fungi; Basidiomycota.